Molecule: long non-coding RNA, 1276 nt
Filed under: Bos mutus (wild yak)
Lineage: Eukaryota; Metazoa; Chordata; Mammalia; Artiodactyla; Bovidae
Description: lncRNA (ENSBMUG00000011810.1)
Source: RNAcentral
CUGCCAUAAAAAGGAAUGUGUGGCCAGUGAGGUUGGUGAGGGAACUCCAGUCUGCACUGGAAGAGAGGUCUCCACUGGAAUGCCACCCGGCUGCGUCCUCGAGGCAGACCUGAUACCAAGCUGGAGUGGGCCCCGCUGGGAGCAGCAGAGUGACCCAACGGCCCUCUACAUGGCUGAACUCAAGUCCCCCGUGUGGGCUGGAAAGCGCACUGUGCACAAGUAGGAGCUGCCUUCGCUAGGCAGCACCCAUGGAAAGCUCUGAGGCUCUCGGUGGCCCCCAUAAGCACCAUCGGCCUUGAGUCUCCAGGCCCAGGUUAAGACACUAAGAAGGCCCUCCUGCCGGUGGAGUCCAGUUUGAACAGACCAGAUGACCCCUGGAAGAGGGGAGCUGCUCGGCACAACAGGAGAAACCCAGCCACACGGGCUUGCAUCCGCGUCCCCCGCCUCCUCAGCAGCACUGGGUGUGGCUGCAUUUCCCGCCCCGGCUCCCGGGGUCGCGGGGUCGCCCCCUCCUCCGCGGUGUGCGUGUCCUCUCCGUGUGUGCUCGCCGCUGAGCUUCAUCGUCCCGGUGCAGGCCCCGAGGGGGACAUUGUCCCCUCCACCUCGUCUCGGGUCCUUCUCCGGGCAGUGUUCUCAACUGUCAGGACUUCCAGCUGGUCCAGCUCUCCUUUCAGGGCUUGUGCGGGACAGGCUGUCUGGCCCACGAGCCCCAGGAUGUCUUCUUCUUUCUCCUGCAAGUUUUAUGGUUUUAAGUUUGUGUGUGAAUCCGUGAGCCAUUCUGAGUUCAUUUUUGUAGAAAAUAUGAUACUUCGAACAAAGGUUCCGAUUUUUUGGCCUGUAGAAGCCAGAGCCUGAAUUUCCCCAACCUCCCCUCCAAUGAUACAUACUUUAUCCACUUCUAUUCAUUAUUCAAAUAUUUGCUGCUGCCCACUGGGUGCCCAGUGCCAUGGGGUCCUGGGGCCCACAGGUGAGUGUGUGAGACCCCCAGCUGCCCUCCAGAGCCCACUGUCGGGCCUCAACUGGCCACAGCCUGACCCUCCCAGAUGCAGCCUCGGGACAGAGUGGGGGUAUCCACGUCAGGCCCCAGAGCGGCCAAGGGGAGCGAGCCACCCGGGGGCUGUCCCUCUGGACCUCAUCCUGCUGGCCCCUUCUGCCCCGCGCCCCUGGCACCACCCUGGGGAACGCGACGGGGCAGGAACAAUCGCCCGGCUUGUAGUCUCAGGCGGACACAAGCCCGCUUUCACAAGCCCACAGCCCCGGGUUUGUGCCGCCUGGC